CAGGGGGGUGCAAACGUUGCUCGGAAUUAUUGGGCGUAAAGCGCGCGUAGGCGGCUACUUAAGUCGGAUGUGAAAGCCCCUGGCUCAACUGGGGAAGUGCACCCGAAACUGAGUGGCUUGAGUGCGAAAGAGGGUCGCGGAAUUCCCGGUGUAGAGGUGAAAUUCGUAGAUAUCGGGAGGAACACCGGUGGCGAAGGCGGCGACCUGGGUCGACACUGACGCUGAGGCGCGAAAGCGUGGGGAGCAAACAGGUUUAGAUACCCUGGUAGUCCACGCCGUAAACGAUGGGUGCUAGAUGUUUCUGGUAUUGACCCCGGAGGCGUCGUAGCUAACGCGUUAAGCACCCCGCCUGGGAAGUACGGCCGCAAGGCUA
Molecule: ribosomal RNA, 373 nt
Filed under: uncultured organism
Description: bacterial SSU rRNA
Rfam family: Bacterial small subunit ribosomal RNA
Source: RNAcentral